AUUGAACGCUGGCGGCAUGCUUUACACAUGCAAGUCGAACGGUAACAGGCCUUCGGGUGCUGACGAGUGGCGAACGGGUGCGUAAUGCAUCGGAACGUGCCCAGAGGUGGGGGAUAACGCAGCGAAAGCUGUGCUAAUACCGCAUGUGAUCUGAGGAUGAAAGCGGGGGACCUGGCAGCAAUGUUUGGCCUCGCGCCUUUGGAGCGGCCGAUGUCAGAUUAGGUAGUUGGUGGGGUAAAGGCCUACCAAGCCGACGAUCUGUAGCUGGUCUGAGAGGACGACCAGCCACACUGGGACUGAGACACGGCCCAGACUCCUACGGGAGGCAGCAGUGGGGAAUUUUGGACAAUGGGCGCAAGCCUGAUCCAGCAAUGCCGCGUGAGGGAAGAAGGCCUUCGGGUUGUAAACCGCUUUUGUACGGAACGAAAAGGCUCUGGCUAAUACCUGGGGCUGAUGACGGUACCGUAAGAAUAAGCACCGGCUAACUACGUG
This 492-nucleotide ribosomal RNA is filed under the name uncultured bacterium. RNAcentral's name for it is "partial 16S ribosomal RNA". It matches the Rfam family "Bacterial small subunit ribosomal RNA", at positions 30 to 507 of the family's 1533-position model. The record is from RNAcentral.